RNAcentral lists this unclassified non-coding RNA (340 nucleotides) under uncultured fungus. Its description in RNAcentral is "partial contains 5.8S ribosomal RNA, internal transcribed spacer 2, and large subunit ribosomal RNA". The record is from RNAcentral. Lineage: Eukaryota; Fungi.
AACGCACAUUGCGCUUCCUGGUAUUCUGGGGAGCAUGCUCGUUUCAGAAUCAUUAAAAUCUUACAAUCUAAUUUUGUUUCAAAGCUCUGUUAGAGGUGUAAAUUUGAGUCUCUUUUGUCGGUCCAUGGCAAUGACUUUAAAAUGAUUGUAUAUGUCUUUGAAUCGUCCUUCAAAUUGACCUGUAGUGCAACAAUUCUUGGAAACACUUCAUGGUCUCUUUGUGUGAUUGAGAGAUGUAUAUUCCCCAAUAACAAUACAGCAGCAGAAUUGGAAGUUUAUUCUUCAUUUUCUGCUCUGAUAAUUUGGUCUGAAAUCGAGCAAGAAAACCCGCUGAACUUAA